RNAcentral lists this transfer RNA (65 nucleotides) under Dipodomys ordii (Ord's kangaroo rat). It matches the Rfam family "tRNA". From Rfam's summary of the family: Transfer RNA (tRNA) molecules are approximately 80 nucleotides in length. Their secondary structure includes four short double-helical elements and three loops (D, anti-codon, and T loops). Further hydrogen bonds mediate the characteristic L-shaped molecular structure. tRNAs have two regions of fundamental functional importance: the anti-codon, which is responsible for specific mRNA codon recognition, and the 3' end, to which the tRNAs corresponding amino acid is attached (by aminoacyl-tRNA synthetases). tRNAs cope with the degeneracy of the genetic code in two manners: having more than one tRNA (with a specific anti-codon) for a particular amino acid; and 'wobble' base-pairing, i.e. permitting non-standard base-pairing at the 3rd anti-codon position. The record is from Rfam by way of RNAcentral. Lineage: Eukaryota; Metazoa; Chordata; Mammalia; Rodentia; Heteromyidae.
GGUGGCUUAGUGAUAGGGUGCUUGCCUUGCAUGCAAGAGGCCCUGGGUUCAAUUCCUCAGCACCA